CGCGCGACAGCGGUGAUAAAAUAUAGAUUGCAGCUCACGGCGGACGGCAAUCCAACGCGGAAAAUAAUAAUUAUUGAUGAGAAAAUAUCUUAUACGGCGUUCAGAUGUUUCUCCUUGGGCAGUGAACAUUUUCGAGCGUUAUCGUUUUUGCGUCACGCUCGAUACCUAUUACACAAUAUUAAAACGAGAGGCGAUUUUUAUACUUAGUUUUACAUUAUUACUGGAUUUUCAAAUUUUACGAAAAACACCGAAAAUUCUGACAGUUUAAUCCGGACGUCGAAAUGGGUUUUGGAGUUCAAUUUGUUUGUCACAAUUAUGGGUUAUGCACUAUGCAAUGGUGAAAAAUCAUAAAACUCCAGAUAAUAACCUGAUGAAAUCUUAACUACGGGAGGUGUAUCAAGAUUGUAUAGAGACGGGUUUGUCCAGUCCAGUGUACGGUAUGCAAAGGUGAAAAAUCAUAAGACUCCAGAUAAUGACCCGAUGAAAUCUUAAUUACAAAAGGUGUAUCAAGAUUGUAUAGAGAUGGAUUAUUAGUAGAGUCUAGUUAGCUGUAUGCAAAAGCAAAAAAUCAUAAAACUUCAGAUAAUAACCUGAUGAAAUCUAAAUCACAGGAGGUGUUUCAAGAUUGUAUGCGACAACGGUGAUAAAUUAAUAUAGAUCGCAGCUCACGACGGACUGCAAUCCAACGCGGAAAAUAAUUAUUGAUGAGAAAAUAUCUAUACGGCGUUCAGAUGUUUCCGCUUGGGCAGUGAACAAUUUUGAGCGCUAUCGUUUUUGCGUAACGCUCGAUUCAUUUUAUAUUAUUAAAAUGAGAGGCAAUUUUCAUAUCUGAAGUUUUACUGGAUUUUCAAAUAUUUCUAAUAACACCAAAAAUAUUUUUGCCACUAACUGUCUAAUUCGGACGUCGGAAUGAGUGUCAGCCUUGGAGUUCAAUUUGUUUUUUACAAUUAUGCGGUAUGCAAUGGCGAAAAAUCAUAAAACUCCAGAUAAUAACCUGAUGAAAUCUUAAUCACGGGAGGUGUAUUAAGAUUGUAAGAUAUUGAUGUCUGCAGUCUGCACGUGCUUCCUGUUAAGAAUAGUGUAACUCAUUCAAGUGGAAAUGAAUUAACUAUGAUAGAGAAUGUUUUAUAGGAUAAUUGUAAACCAUGUUAUACAUUUCCAUCAGAUCAAUUAGCAAUAAUACAUAUAAGAUAACUAUUGAUGAUUUUGUAAAUUAUGAGUUUUUCAUAGCAAGUGCUUAUUCAUUGAUUGAUGUAUCAUUGAUGAAUAAUAGUAACACCAUUUCUAAAGAUAAAGUUCUUUGAUACAAUUUUACAAAUGUACUGUUUAAAUAAGUCUGAACACCAAAAACUCCACUGAUGCUGCUGAAGAGCUUAAUGAAACAACCCAGUCUUCUUCUAUAUUCAAUCAAACUUCGAUCAAGGACACUGAAUCUGCCGCAAGUAUAUGGUUUUCAAAAGCGAGUAAAAGACUCAAAAUGCCCACAACAAAUAAUAUUAAUAAUUGAUUUUUGGAAAAUAUUUUGUUUUAAGUGUUCAGCGGUCA
Long non-coding RNA from Acyrthosiphon pisum (pea aphid), 1545 nucleotides. RefSeq lists it as uncharacterized. The record is from RefSeq and is a predicted model, not a curated record. The transcript has 10 exons. Lineage: Eukaryota; Metazoa; Arthropoda; Insecta; Hemiptera; Aphididae.